UACAGAGGUCCCAAGCGUUGUUCGGAAUCACUGGGCGUAAAGGGUGCGUAGGCGGGUCUUUAAGUCAGGGGUGAAAUCCUGGAGCUCAACUCCAGAACUGCCUUUGAUACUGAAGAUCUUGAGUUCGGGAGAGGUGAGUGGAACUGCGAGUGUAGAGGUGAAAUUCGUAGAUAUUCGCAAGAACACCAGUGGCGAAGGCGGCUCACUGGCCCGAUACUGACGCUGAGGCACGAAAGCGUGGGGAGCAAACAGG
Molecule: ribosomal RNA, 253 nt
Filed under: uncultured bacterium
Lineage: Bacteria
Description: partial 16S ribosomal RNA
Rfam family: Bacterial small subunit ribosomal RNA
Source: RNAcentral